Molecule: ribosomal RNA, 446 nt
Filed under: uncultured bacterium
Lineage: Bacteria
Description: partial 16S ribosomal RNA
Rfam family: Bacterial small subunit ribosomal RNA
Source: RNAcentral
CCUACGGGGGGCUGCAGUAGGGGAUUUUCGGCAAUGGGGGGAACCCUGACCGAGCAACGCCGCGUGAACGAAGAAGUUAUUCGUAAUGUAAAGUUCUUUUAACAGGGAAGAAAGAGAAAUUUGACGGUACCUGAAGAAUAAGCUCCGGCAAACUACGUGCCAGCAGCCGAGGUAAUACGUAGGGAGCGAGCGUUAUCCGGAAUUAUUGGGCGUAAGGGGUGCGUAGAUGGCAUAGUAAGUCUGUGGUAAAAAUGCUGGGCUAAACCCAGUAGGGCAAAAGAUACUGCAAAGCUAGAGUAUGACAGAGGCAAGUGGAACUACAUGUGUAGCGGUAAAAUGCGUAAAUAUAUGUAAGAACACCAGUGGCGAAGGCGGCUUGCUGGGUCGAUACUGACAUUGAGGCACGAAAGCGUGGGGAGCAAACAGGAUUAGAUACCCCUGUAGUC